GACACGUGGAACUGCUUCUCCAUCGGGGAGGAUCCAUCCAGAGCCCUUUGGGUGGGUGCUCAGGGCAAUAGCUGCUGCCUCUUCCUUCUGCUCAGUGCUGGGAGGCGUUACACUUUCCCCAUAUGGCACGGAGCAGAACGUGCACCUUUGGCUCUGGAAGGAAUGAACAUCCUACCCGUUAGUUAGCCCUGGGAGUCACUGACUCGGUUCUUCCCUGGACACCAAUGUCCUAUGGAGCACACAGAAAGCCACGGAAGUGUGGUCUGCGGGUUGAGACGGACUCCGUUCAUGUGGAUAAGCAGAGGAAAUUUGGCAGAAACGACCAAAUGCAAAAUACGUGUAGCAGCCUGAGACCGGCCGUCUACUGAAACAAAGGAUGCAGUUCAGUCGGAAACCACGCUUAGCUGAGUAGCUGUCUUUAGCCAUCCAGGCCCUGAGAACCAAUGAACAACCCAGCUUGGCCGCUUAGAACAUUUUUUCUAUACUUGAGUUAAAUAGAUAUCCAAGAACCAUUACUCGUUUUUAAUGUGGAGAAGUCGGUAUUCUAUUCUCGUGUUCUAUGUUUUUUAAAGUGGCAAUUUGAAUUAUUUCGUGCGAUAGAAAACCUUAAACACAAAGUAACGUUUCUAACAAAAGGGCUGUCGAUCAAGUGACAAACACGUCCUACUUUUAGAUACAAGCACGACUGAGGCAACGGCACGAAGACGCCUAAAGUGGGCUGCUGGGGAGACAAGAUCUGGCCGCGAAUGGAACUCGCGGCAGCUCAUUAACGGGACCGUCCAGCAGGAAGGUCUCAGGGCACUGUCGCCCCUACUCACUUUGAUGAAGCCAGUGCUGGGUUGCUGCUGAGGUGGGGAGGUUCAUGGGCCAGGAACUGAAGGCAGCCAUGAGAGCCAGACCCCUCCACCACCCCCAAGACAGCAGGGAACUCACUCCAACAGCCACCCUGGGAUGCUGCCACAGCUGAGCCUGGAGGU
Long non-coding RNA from Homo sapiens (human), 977 nucleotides. The record is from Ensembl. NCBI's taxonomy places the organism in Eukaryota, Metazoa, Chordata, Mammalia, Primates, Hominidae.